GGCUCGAUGGCGGAUGGUCCGCGUCGGUUUCUCGUGUCGCAAGACAGAUCUGAUUAUGUAUGCCGGAGACGCCCGUUCGACUCGGGCUCGAGCCA
Non-coding RNA from Mycena epipterygia, 95 nucleotides. NCBI's taxonomy places the organism in Eukaryota, Fungi, Basidiomycota, Agaricomycetes, Agaricales, Mycenaceae. The record is from the annotation of a GenBank genome assembly.